RNAcentral lists this ribosomal RNA (497 nucleotides) under uncultured bacterium. RNAcentral's name for it is "partial 16S ribosomal RNA". It matches the Rfam family "Bacterial small subunit ribosomal RNA", at positions 28 to 507 of the family's 1533-position model. The record is from RNAcentral.
GAUGAACGCUGGCGGCGUGCCUAAUACAUGCAAGUCGAGCGAACAGACGAGGAGCUUGCUCCUCUGACGUUAGCGGCGGACGGGUGAGUAACACGUGGAUAACCUACCUAUAAGACUGGGAUAACUUCGGGAAACCGGAGCUAAUACCGGAUAAUAUAUUGAACCGCAUGGUUCAAUAGUGAAAGACGGUUUUGCUGUCACUUAUAGAUGGAUCCGCGCCGCAUUAGCUAGUUGGUAAGGUAACGGCUUACCAAGGCAACGAUGCGUAGCCGACCUGAGAGGGUGAUCCGCCACACUGGAACUGAGACACGGUCCCGACUCCUACGGGAGGCCGCAGUAGGGAAUCUUUCGCAAAGGGCGAAAGCCUGACCGAGCCACGCCGCGUGGGUGAAGAAGGUCUUCGGGUUGUAAAACCCUUUUAUUAGGGAAGAACAAAUGUGUAAGUAACUAUGCACGUCUUGACGGUACCUAAUCAGAAAGCCACGGCUAACUACGUG